GACGAACGCUGGCGGCGUGCUUAACACAUGCAAGUCGAACGGUAAGGCCCUUCGGGGUACACGAGUGGCGAACGGGUGAGUAACACGUGGGUGAUCUGCCCUGCACUUCGGGAUAAGCCUGGGAAACUGGGUCUAAUACCGGAUAGGACCACUGCCUGCAUGGGUGGUGGUGGAAAGCUUUUGCGGUGUGGGAUGGGCCCGCGGCCUAUCAGCUUGUUGGUGGGGUGAUGGCCAACCAAGGCGACGACGGGUAGCCGGCCUGAGAGGGUGACCGGCCACACUGGGACUGAGAUACGGCCCAGACUCCUACGGGAGGCAGCAGUGGGGAAUAUUGCACAAUGGGCGCAAGCCUGAUGCAGCGACGCCGCGUGAGGGAUGACGGCCUUCGGGUUGUAAACCUCUUUCAGCACCGACGAAGCGCAAGUGACGGUAGGUGCAGAAGAAGGACCGGCCAACUACAUGCCAGCCGCCGCGGUAA
Molecule: ribosomal RNA, 478 nt
Filed under: uncultured bacterium
Lineage: Bacteria
Description: partial 16S ribosomal RNA
Rfam family: Bacterial small subunit ribosomal RNA
Source: RNAcentral